Molecule: ribosomal RNA, 18 nt
Filed under: Allium cupani subsp. hirtovaginatum
Lineage: Eukaryota; Viridiplantae; Streptophyta; Magnoliopsida; Asparagales; Amaryllidaceae
Description: partial large subunit ribosomal RNA
Source: RNAcentral
CAUGACCUCAGAUCAGAC